RNAcentral lists this non-coding RNA (204 nucleotides) under Hyphomicrobiales bacterium. The record is from RNAcentral. Lineage: Bacteria; Pseudomonadati; Pseudomonadota; Alphaproteobacteria; Hyphomicrobiales.
UCAAGAUGCGCAUGCCAUGGUUCCCCGACAUGCCGCCUGCGGCGCGUCGGGGCUAAGAGGGAAGCCGGUGAAAUGCCGGCGCUGCCCCCGCAACUGUAAGCGGCGAGCCGAUGCCCACGAUGUCACUGAGGCGAUAGCCUUGGGAAGACGGGUGGAGGCGACGACCUGCGAGCCAGGAGACCUGCCGUGGCGAACAACGUCCAC